This 245-nucleotide ribosomal RNA is filed under the name uncultured bacterium. Its description in RNAcentral is "partial 16S ribosomal RNA". It matches the Rfam family "Bacterial small subunit ribosomal RNA", at positions 524 to 767 of the family's 1533-position model. The record is from RNAcentral.
UACGUAGGGGCCGAGCGUUGUCCGGAUUCAUUGGGCGUAAAGAGCUCGUAGGCGGUUCAGUAAGUCGGGUGUGAAAUCUCCGGGCUCAACCCGGAGGGGCCACCCGAUACUGCUGUGACUUGAGUCCAGUAGGGGAGCAGGGAAUUCCUGGUGUAGCGGUGAAAUGCGCAGAUAUCAGGAGGAACACCGGUGGCGAAGGCGCUGCUCUGGGCUGGUACUGACGCUGAGGAGCGAAAGCGUGGGUA